Molecule: ribosomal RNA, 356 nt
Filed under: Salmonella enterica
Lineage: Bacteria; Pseudomonadati; Pseudomonadota; Gammaproteobacteria; Enterobacterales; Enterobacteriaceae
Also listed under: 6 other names
Description: partial 23S ribosomal RNA
Rfam family: Bacterial large subunit ribosomal RNA
Source: RNAcentral
GGUUAAGCGACUAAGCGUACACGGUGGAUGCCCUGGCAGUCAGAGGCGAUGAAGGGCGUGCUAAUCUGCGAUAAGCGCCGGUAAGGUGAUAUGAACCGUUAUAACCGGCGAUACCCGAAUGGGGAAACCCAGUGUGACUCGUCACACUAUCAUUAACUGAAUCCAUAGGUUAAUGAGGCGAACCGGGGGAACUGAAACAUCUAAGUACCCCGAGGAAAAGAAAUCAACCGAGAUUCCCCCAGUAGCGGCGAGCGAACGGGGAGGAGCCCAGAGCCUGAAUCAGCAUGUGUGUUAGUGGAAGCGUCUGGAAAGGCGCGCGAUACAGGGUGACAGCCCCGUACACAAAAGCGCAUGUG